This 438-nucleotide ribosomal RNA is filed under the name uncultured bacterium. Its description in RNAcentral is "partial 16S ribosomal RNA". It matches the Rfam family "Bacterial small subunit ribosomal RNA", at positions 339 to 795 of the family's 1533-position model. The record is from RNAcentral.
CUACGGGGUGCUCCAGUGAGGAAUAUUGCACAAUGGGGGAACCCUGAUGCAGCAACGCCGCGUGGAGGAUGACGCAUUUCGGUGUGUAAACUCCUUUUAUAUGUCAAGAAAAUGACGGUAGCAUAUGAAUAAGCACCGGCUAACUCCGUGCCAGCAGCCGCGGUAAUACGGAGGGUGCAAGCGUUACUCGGAAUCACUGGGCGUAAAGGACGCGUAGGCGGGGUGGAAAGUCAGGUGUGAAAUCCUACAGCUUAACUGUAGAACUGCACUUGAAACUUCUAAUCUAGAGUAUGGGAGGGGGAGAUGGAAUUAGUGGUGUAGGGGUAAAAUCCGUAGAUAUCACUAGGAAUACCUAAAGCGAAGGCGAUCUCCUGGAACAUUACUGACGCUAAGGCGUGAAAGCGUGGGGAGCAAACAGGAUUAGAUACCCCGGUAGUC